UGGGGCGUAAGCGCGCGCAGGCGGUUUCUUAAGUCUGAUGUGAAAGCCCACGGCUCAACCGUGGAGGGUCAUUGGAAACUGGGGAACUUGAGUGCGGAAGAGAAAAGCGGAAUUCCACGUGUAGCGGUGAAAUGCGUAGAGAUGUGGAGGAACACCAGUGGCGAAGGCGGCUUUUUGGUCUGUUACUGACGCUGAGGCGCGAAAGCGUGGGGAGCAAACAGGAUUAUAUACCCUGGUAGUCC
RNAcentral lists this ribosomal RNA (242 nucleotides) under Priestia flexa. Its description in RNAcentral is "Bacillus flexus partial 16S ribosomal RNA". It matches the Rfam family "Bacterial small subunit ribosomal RNA", at positions 556 to 796 of the family's 1533-position model. The record is from RNAcentral. Lineage: Bacteria; Bacillati; Bacillota; Bacilli; Caryophanales; Bacillaceae.